UGUCAUGUUUAAAAAUUCUAAAGCUUACAAUUUUUAAACAUUUAUUGCUAAUGGAAAACUUUACCAAUCAAGAAUUGGCGGAUAUGCAUUUGGCAUACGGAGCAACAAACUGCAAUGCACGAGCAGCAUCGCGGUUGUAUCAUGAACGUUAUCUCGAACGACAGCAUCCUGGAUACAAAAAGUUUAUUGCGGUUCAUCGGCGGCUGGCUGAGACAGGCAUGUUUAAGACCAAGAUGCAUGAUACUGGUGUUGCUCGAACCGUAAGAACGGUCGAAUUUGAAGAAGAGGUGCUUCAGCGAGUUGCCGAUGAACCAUCAAAUAGCACACGUGACUUCGCUAAGAAUAUGAAUACGAGUAACGCUUCUGUCUGGCGGGUACUACACGAGCAACAACUCCAUCCUUACCACUUCCAGAAAGUUCAAGGUAUGACUGCAGCCGAUUAUCAUCCUAGAGUUCAAUUUUGUCGAUGGCUUCUGGAUCACAUCAUUGCACAACCAAAUUUUUUACGAUAUGUUUUGUGGACCGAUGAAGCCUCUUUCACAAGAGACGGUAUUUUUAAUAGUAGGAAUAGCCAUGUUUGGGACGAAAAAAUCCUUAUGCAAUUUUUCCAAGAAAACAUCAGAAUCGUUGGUCUGUCAACGUAUGAGGAGGCAUCGUUGAUGAUUAUUUAAUUGGGCCAUACCUUCUACCGGAACGGUUAACAGGACCUAUUUAUCUGCGUUUCUUGGAGGAAGUUCUCCCAGAACUCCUUGUUCUUGAAAAUGUUCCUCUAAACGUUAAGACAGCAAAUGUGGUUUCAGCAUGAUGGAGCGCCGGCUCACUUUCCUGUACAAGUACGCAAGUAUUUGGCUCAGCGGUUUGGGCACCGUUGGAUUGCCAGAGGUGGAGCACUUUCUUGGCCUCCUAGGUCACCCGAUUUAACGUCGCUCGAUUUUUUCUUGUAGGGACAUGUAAAGUCUUUAGUCUACGAAACACCAGUAGAAUCAGAGCUAGACUUAAUUGGACGAAUAACAGCAGUAUUUGAAAUCAUUCAAAACGAGGAUCAAAUUUUUAGUGUAGUCCGCCGAAAUCAUGUGCGGCGUUUAAAUCGGUGUAUUGAGGUUGGAGGAAGACAUUUUAAACAAUUGUUGUGAUCGUAUCAUAUACAAAAGGGCCGUAGUGGCGUAGUGACACAUUUCCAGACAUGGGUUCCUAUACUCAAAUGGAUUCUACUGUUGCACUAAACAACCCCUAGAAGUUUGAUCCCAUAGUUCUGAAACACCCUGUAUACACGUUAUACAAAUCGCUUCUCGCAUUUUAUUAUUGUCUACUGUAAUUUAUUAGAUUUUGUUACCUUUAGUUGGAAUGGAGGUAUGCAUUAUAACUAAACUUAUAUAACUGUA
This 1382-nucleotide long non-coding RNA is filed under the name Anthonomus grandis grandis. RNAcentral describes it as "uncharacterized LOC126736913". Lineage: Eukaryota; Metazoa; Arthropoda; Insecta; Coleoptera; Curculionidae. The record is from RNAcentral.